This 234-nucleotide ribosomal RNA is filed under the name uncultured bacterium. RNAcentral's name for it is "partial 16S ribosomal RNA". It matches the Rfam family "Bacterial small subunit ribosomal RNA", at positions 104 to 339 of the family's 1533-position model. The record is from RNAcentral.
GGGUGAGUAACGCGUAGAUAACCUACCCUCGAGUCUGGAAUAACCCUCCGAAAGGAUGGCUAAUACCGGAUAAUACGAAAGAAUGAGUGUUUUUUUGUUGAAAGAUUUAUUGCUUGGGGAUGGGUCUGCGUUCCAUUAGCUAGAUGGUGAGGUAACGGCUCACCAUGGCGACGAUGGAUAGCGGGUCUGAGAGGAUGAUCCGCCACACUGGCACUGAGAUACGGGCCAGACUCC